CAAUUUUGACAAAACAAGAAGGUGAAUAGUAGCAAAACUUCUAUUUUUUCACGACCAAUCACAAAGUUUAGUGUGAAGGUAUGUUUGACAAAGUCUGAUAUUUGCAAUGAAAACAUUUUCUUCGUACGAUAAAAUGUGUCAAAUUCCAUGGCCAUCUCUUGUUUUGAACAGUGAAAUCUCCGUAAAUACGACCAUUGUGAACAAUUUGUGAUAAUACCUAAAAUGUAAUAUAGCUAAUAUUAAUACAGCUACGGAAUGAUGAAAGGAACCCUAACGGUAGAUAAAAUGGCGAUAGCAGAUGGAAUAAAUGUUGCCAUUACAGAGCUUAUAACCUUAUAGACUUCUAAUAGACGUUGUGAGAAUGAUAUUACCCUUGUAAAAGCGUUAUAAAAACAUGCCGUAAUAAUUAUUCCCAUUUUUACGUCAAAACUACUCAAAUUCAAGGGCGCGUUGAUAUAAUUACACUUUUUGUACCACAUUUUAUCAUACGUUUGAAUUCCCACAAAGUUUUCUCAAUAAACAAGCACAAUAUACUCUCGGAUUCAGGUACACUAAGAAAAAUAAAUGAAAUUAAUCAUG
Helicoverpa zea (corn earworm) is the source of this 579-nucleotide long non-coding RNA. RefSeq lists it as uncharacterized. The record is from RefSeq and is a predicted model, not a curated record. NCBI's taxonomy places the organism in Eukaryota, Metazoa, Arthropoda, Insecta, Lepidoptera, Noctuidae. The transcript has 2 exons.